This is a long non-coding RNA of Neofelis nebulosa (Clouded leopard), 341 nucleotides long. RefSeq lists it as uncharacterized. The transcript has 2 exons. The record is from RefSeq and is a predicted model, not a curated record. Lineage: Eukaryota; Metazoa; Chordata; Mammalia; Carnivora; Felidae.
GUUUCAGUGGCUUGCUAUGUUCAUAUCUAAAAGAAAAACUUAAAGUCAGCAGUCACUGUCUCACCAGCAGCCCCAAAUGGGCACACUCUCCAGGACAUCUCUGGACUCAUCUCCUCUUGACAUUUCCUCUCUCCCUGGACAGAGUUUACAAGGAUCCUCAACAGACUGGCCAGGCAAAGAACCCAGCUCCCCUACAAUUAAUCGGCCUAGAACACCUGCAGAGACCAGCCCAUGAAGAAAUGCUUUUAUAUUUAGUAUGAUAGGGCUCUAGACCCACCCCCCCCUUUCAUACUGUGACUAAAAAGGAUAAAUAAACCUGGGGGGGAGGGGUAUUUUUUGGA